UAGUCUAUAAAGAGUUCGUGUCUAUGAUGUUUAUGGCAACUGAAGUGUGUGUGUGUGUGUGUGCCAGUUGCCUUUUUAUUAUUUUUACUUUGAUGGAUUGUUAGUAAAGCAUGCAACCUAAUAGUUUGUCUAAACAAGCUAUAUUGUACCUCCAUAUCCUGAGUACUGAAUAUGUUGAAUUGAAGUUUCCUACUAGUUGUUUUCUACAUUUGAAUUUCAUGGUAGCAGGGACAAACAGCUAUAAACCCCUUUAGAAAAUGUUUGUGAUGGUUUGUCAUCAAGAGUUCAAAAACUUCUCACUUUUAAGUACUAGAAUUAUGGUGAUCAAACUACCGGCAUGUUAUAUCUACUUGUGCCAAGUCUAGGAAGCAAGAUUAAGGAUGGACAGGAAGAGAUUGGUACAAAACAUUCUUGGUUUACUAUAAAGGUCGCACUCCUAAGGGGGUCAUCACCGGCUGGAAGAUGCACGAAAUAAAUGCAACUAGUUUGCCAGAACAACAGCGGAGUUUCAUUCUGUGCAAAUUAAUUGAUAGGUCAGAUAAUGAAAGUUAUCUGCCAAACUACAAUGAAGGUGAACAGGUUUACAAUAUGGUUGGCUCUGAUUCCUAUCAGAUGACUAACUAUUCAACCUUCAAUGCUGGUGAAACAAGCUGGUCUGAAAACCAAGCAACAGAUAAUGGAAUUCCUCAACAGGAAGCUACUGAACUAGCACCAUAUCCGGAAUCAUUCGAUGGCUGGACAUUCGAUGGCUGGACUGGGCAGAAUUGCACAUCAAAUAACUGGCUUGUGCCACCAGAAGCAGAGCAAGGUCUCUUCUAUGAUAAUUUUGGCUCUUCCAUGUUCCCACCCGAAGCAUCCCAGUUCUAUGGGGACACCUACUGAGUUUAAGCAUAUCGAUCAACAUGGAAAAAAGAGUGAUGUUAGAACUAAUAUGAAUGUAUAAUAAGAGAGAUCAUCUAUGAUGAUUCAUCUCAACUCCAGUGUGUGUUUUAUUUUUAGUUUCUUGCUAUUUUGCUAUCUUCCUUAAUGUAAAAGUCUGUAUCAGGAACUAAUAUAGCUUGUUCCACCAAGGCUUCUGUACUUUUGAAUUCCAUGCUCUGCAGACAUUGAAUAAAAGUAUCUUAGGCACUUUAGCUAAUGCGGUCUUGCUUUAGUGGUAAAGGUUG
RNAcentral lists this unclassified non-coding RNA (1166 nucleotides) under Hevea brasiliensis (rubber tree). The record is from RNAcentral. Lineage: Eukaryota; Viridiplantae; Streptophyta; Magnoliopsida; Malpighiales; Euphorbiaceae.